This is a non-coding RNA of Acanthosepion pharaonis, 102 nucleotides long. NCBI's taxonomy places the organism in Eukaryota, Metazoa, Mollusca, Cephalopoda, Sepiida, Sepiidae. The record is from the annotation of a GenBank genome assembly.
UAUGGCCAUAUAACGUUGAAACACCGGUUGCCGUACGAUCACCGAAGUUAAGAAACGUCGAGCCUGGUCAGUACCUAGAUGGGUGACCGUUUUGGAAUACUG